CGCAUUUUUGCAGUACCUGCCCCCUUCUGAAGGAGUUAAGAACCUUGUGGAGAUCUCUCCGUGUUCAUGGGUCUCAUUUUUUGACACUGAGGAUCCGAGCCAUGUCUCCACCCCACCCCCGCACCCGGCCCAGCAGCGCCCUCUUGGCCGCAGCCCUGGUGGCUGAUUCACCAGCCUUGGGGGCCUCUGCACACAGGACUCCACUGACCAUGAGCUUGGCUGUCCUCAGCCAACUCAGAUUUACUUGUGGCUACUUACAAUGAUGCCCGCCUCUGCCACUGGACCAAGUCCAGGGUUUUAAACCGAAAUACACACUUUAUUCUUUUCAAAACCUCUAGCAAGAUGCUAUUUCGCUGGAUCCAGCAAAAUCUCAUCACUUUCUGAGCACACAGUCCCUGUCACAGAAUUCACCAGAGCAGACAGACAUGCUCCUUGGGCCUCACUGUGCAGAACUUUCCAGCGGUGCUACAAAUAUUUGUGGGUCUGGUUCUCUGCUAGCCGGUAAGUACCUGAAAUGGAGGACCAUGACUUUCUUAUGUUUUUCUCUUUUUUUGGGUCUUUUUAGAGCCGCACCUGCGGCAUAUGGAGGUUCCCAGGCUAGGGGUCCAAUCAGAGCUGUAGCUGCCAGACUACACCACAGGCACAGCAACACCAGAUCCUUAACCCAGGGAUUGAAUCCCCAUCCUCAUGAAUACUAGUUGGGUUCAUUACUGCUGAGCCACAACGGGAACUCCUCUCUGCUUAUUCAAUCAGUCCCUCAAAGUAUUAGAUUAACAUCUCACACUAAGAUUGCGGGGGUUUUUUUUGACUAGUUGUUUGUUUUUGUUGUUGUUGUUGUUGUUGUUGUUGCUAUUUCUUGGGCCGCUCCCAUGGCAUAUGGAGGUUCCCAGGCUAGGGGUCGAAUCGGAGCUGCAGCCACCGGCCUACGCCAGAGCCACAGCAACGCAGGAUCCGAGCCGCGUCUGCAACCUACACCACAGCUCACGGCAACGCCGGAUCGUUAACCCACUGAGCAAGGGCAGGGACCGAACCCGCAACCUCAUGGUUCCUAGUCGGAUUCGUUAACCACUGCGCCACGACGGGAACUCCUUUUUUUUUGCCCUGCCAGGUUUUAUUUUAUAGGUUUUGAGGCUGUGCUGUUAUGAGUAUACAAAUUUAAAAUUACAACUAGAUCUUCUUGAUGAAUCGAUCUUUUAUGACUAUGACAAAGUCUCUCUUUAUCUCUAGCCAUGCUUUUUGCUUCAAAGUGCACUUUUUCUGAUAUUAGUAUAGCUAUACCAGCCUUCUUUUGGCAAGUAUUUGCCUACAUUUUUUGUCCUUUUAUUUUUAAUAUUUCUAAACUUUAUAAUUAAUUAAAGUACAUCACUUUGUGGUUGUUUUCACCUAGCCUGAGAACUUUGUGUCAUUUAUUUAUUUAUUUAUUUUUAAGAGCCACAUCCAAGGUUCCCAGGCUAGGGGUCUAAUUGGAGCUGUAGCCGCCAGCCUACACCACUGCCACAUCGAUGCCAGAUCCGAGCUGCAUCUAUGAUCUUACCNUUUAUUUUUAAUAUUUCUAAACUUUAUAAUUAAUUAAAGUGCAUCACUUUGUGGUUGUUUUCACCUAGUCUGAGAACUUUUUGUCAUUUAUUUAUUUUAUUUUUAAGAGCCAUACCCGAGGUUCCCAGGCUAGGGGUCUAAUUGGAGCUGUAGCUGCCAGCC
Molecule: long non-coding RNA, 1698 nt
Filed under: Sus scrofa (pig)
Lineage: Eukaryota; Metazoa; Chordata; Mammalia; Artiodactyla; Suidae
Description: lncRNA (ENSSSCG00055009372.1)
Source: RNAcentral